This 97-nucleotide small nucleolar RNA is filed under the name Kluyveromyces lactis. RNAcentral describes it as "snR57". It matches the Rfam family "Small nucleolar RNA snR57". Rfam says of the family: snR57 is a member of the C/D class of snoRNA which contain the C (UGAUGA) and D (CUGA) box motifs. Lineage: Eukaryota; Fungi; Ascomycota; Saccharomycetes; Saccharomycetales; Saccharomycetaceae. The record is from RNAcentral.
CGAUUCUAAAUGAUUAUAAAAACAAAAUAUUUAUAACUGAGGAAGUAUAUGCAGGACAUAUUGUUAUUUAGGAAUUCUUCGUUUAUGAUCAGGAUCG